This 408-nucleotide ribosomal RNA is filed under the name uncultured bacterium. Its description in RNAcentral is "partial 16S ribosomal RNA". It matches the Rfam family "Bacterial small subunit ribosomal RNA", at positions 28 to 526 of the family's 1533-position model. The record is from RNAcentral.
GACGAACGCUGGCGGCGUGCUUAACACAUGCAAGUCGAACGAAGUGGCGAACGGGUGAGUAACGCGUAAUCAACCUGCCCUUCAGAGGGGGACAACAGUUGGAAACGACUGCUAAUACUGCAUACUGAAGGAGGGGAUUGCGUCUGAUUAGCUAGUUGGAGGGGUCACGGCCCACGAAGGCGAUGAUCAGUAGACGGUCUGAGAGAAUGAGCGGCCAGAUGGGGACUGAGACACAGCCCAGACACCUACGGUAGGCAGCAGUGGGGAGUCUUCCGCAAUGGACGAAAGUCUGACGGAGCAACGCCGCGUGAGUGAUGACGGCCUACGGAUUGUAAAGCUCUGUUAAUCGGGACGCGGUACCGGAAUAGAAAGCCACGGCUAACUACGUGCCAGCCGCCGCGGUAAUAC